This 265-nucleotide signal recognition particle RNA is filed under the name Clostridia bacterium. Its description in RNAcentral is "signal recognition particle sRNA large type". It matches the Rfam family "Bacterial large signal recognition particle RNA". Rfam says of the family: The signal recognition particle (SRP) is a universally conserved ribonucleoprotein involved in the co-translational targeting of proteins to membranes. The record is from RNAcentral. Lineage: Bacteria; Bacillati; Bacillota; Clostridia.
CCAUACCAGCCGGGGAAUUAGCGGAGCCCUGUACCUGAAAUCCGCUACAGCAGGGGUUCAUUCCUUUUUUGAGGAUCGAGCUUUUGUGUAUGAGCCGUGCCUGCUGCGUUGAAGAGCGGGUCUUGCGCAAUUGGGGGUUGUGAACCAUGUCAGGUGGGGAACCAAGCAGCAUUAAGCAAUUUUUCCAAUGUGCCGCGGGGUAGCCUGCUCCGAGCAGAAUGUACGGAGUUCGCACAGGGGGGAGGUUCGAUUUUAAGGUGUAUGG